CCUGAUGCAGCAACGCCGCGUGAGGGAUGACGGCCUUCGGGUUGUAAACCUCUUUUAGCAAGGAAGAAGCGAAAGUGACGGUACUUGCAGAAAAAGCGCCGGCUAACUACGUGCCAGCAGCCGCGGUAAUACGUAGGGCGCAAGCGUUAUCCGGAAUUAUUGGGCGUAAAGAGCUCGUAGGCGGUUUGUCGCGUCUGCUGUGAAAUCCCGAGGCUCAACCUCGGGCCUGCAGUGGGUACGGGCAGACUAGAGUGCGGUAGGGGAGAUUGGAAUUCCUGGUGUAGCGGUGGAAUGCGCAGAUAUCAGGAGGAACACCGAUGGCGAAGGCAGAUCUCUGGGCCGUAACUGACGCUGAGGAGCGAAAGGGUGGGGAGCAAACAGGCUUAGAUACCCUGGUAGUCCACCCCGUAAACGUUGGGAACUAGUUGUGGGGUCCUUUCCACGGAUUCCGUGACGCAGCUAACGCAUUAAGUUCCCCGCCUGGGGAGUACGGCCGCAAGGCUAAAACUCAAAGGAAUUGACGGGGACCCGCACAAGCGGCGGAGCAUGCGGAUUAAUUCGAUGCAACGCGAAGAACCUUACCAAGGCUUGACAUACACGAGAACACUCUAGAAAUAGGGGACUCUUUGG
RNAcentral lists this ribosomal RNA (630 nucleotides) under Microbacterium sp. So1Pw_1150. Its description in RNAcentral is "bacterial SSU rRNA". It matches the Rfam family "Bacterial small subunit ribosomal RNA", at positions 382 to 1023 of the family's 1533-position model. RNAcentral also lists the same sequence under 2 other names. Lineage: Bacteria; Bacillati; Actinomycetota; Actinomycetes; Micrococcales; Microbacteriaceae. The record is from RNAcentral.